AAGGGCACCACAAGAACGCGUGGAGCAUGUGGCUUAAUUUGACUCAACGCGGGAAAUCUUACCGGGUCCGGACACACUGAGGAUUGACAGGCAAUAUUAAUACGUGUUCGCACGUAUUAUGUUAAAAUAUGCUAGUCCUUUCAUGAUUAUGUGAUAGGUGGUGCAUGGCCGUUCUUAGUUCGUGGAGUGAUCUGUCUGCUUAAUUGCGUUUCACUAAGGGCCUAUAAAUUUACGUGUGUUGCGGCACUUUGACCCCUUUCUUCGGAAAGCGCGUGUCUUAGUUUGCUUUGCUCACACAAUUAGGUCCUGAAAGCAACGAACGUGACCGCAACCUCUUGUUGCCUUUAUACCAAACAUGUUUGACAUUUUUAUGGCAUUCAUGAAAAAAGGCUUUUUAAACUAGAGGGACCGCUGUUACUUUCUUAAACCAGAGGAAGGUUGCGGCAAUAACAGGUCUGUGAUGCCCUUAGAUGUUCCGGGCUGCACACGUGCUACAAUGAUUAUUGCAGUGAGCAUCUCAUUUUUACACACCGCAUGCGCGAGUCCAUUUAUUCACUUCGGUGCUUUAAAUGUGUAUUUCUGCGCGCGGUAAAGCCUGCUUCGAAAGUAAGUGGGUAAUCAAUUAGAAGUAAUGAUUUCCUUUUUAGCACACAUAUAUACGGCGUCUAUACCCGGGUUACCUUGUUGUAACUUUUGUGUGUAUAGAUGUUUUUUCCGUAUGUGCGAUUGUCAAUUCAUGGUGGGGACAGACCAUUGUUAAUUGUUGGUCUCGGUCUUAACUAGGAAUGCCUUGUACGGGUCUUUGGUUCAACAAACCACCCGGAAUACGUCCCUGCCCUUUGUACACACCGCCCGUCGCUCUUACCGAUGGACUUCUCUGUGAGUUUGAGGGACUGGGAACGCAGAAUUUAUUCUGCACACCUAUGGAAACUAAACGAAA
RNAcentral lists this ribosomal RNA (940 nucleotides) under Cibicidoides variabilis. RNAcentral describes it as "SSU rRNA". It matches the Rfam family "Eukaryotic small subunit ribosomal RNA", at positions 1160 to 1764 of the family's 1831-position model. Lineage: Eukaryota; Foraminifera; Rotaliida; Anomalinidae. The record is from RNAcentral.